GGCAGCUGCCUUUCCCUGCUGUUUGCAUCUAGAUCUAUUUUUUAAUACAAAGUGACGACAUUACACUCCUCCAGUGGGAAAACUAAGGUCCAAAAAUUCAUCUCCCACGACAUCCCGGGGUAAUUGGGUAAAGCAGUACAGCUGAUCCUCUUAUCAGAACAAAGACACAAAAAACCCUUCAUUGCUGGCUGGGAUUAAACAACAUUAUCCUAUUGAACAACUUCUUGCCCAGCAAGCAGGCUCUCAUUGCUUCACAAGAAGUGCAGACAUGCAGACAUCUGCCUUUUUUUUUCCUCAAGCAAGAACAGGUAGGACUCUGACUGUCAGGGCUUCACAUACAAAGGUCCCAAUCCCAGACUAGGCCCACAAUCCAAUGGACCUCCACAGCUGUGGGACUGCUCUCAAAACCAUUAGUUGAUGAAAAAAUCCCCCCCCAAAAAGUAUUAAGAUGUUUUUGCACUUAGGUAGGUGGUUUGUAUGUUUGUUUGUUUGUUUUUGUUUUACUUUCUGCUCUUUGAGCACUCUGGAAAAUGCAAAGCUUCUCCUCAAACACUGCAGCUGUUUUAUGUAAGUGAAAACCUAAUGUUCUCAGAUAAGCAUUACUCUGGAGCGUCAGCAUGCAUAUUUAAAGGUGAUGAAGUGCCAACACAAUACUAAGAAUUAGUACUGUGUAUUGCUGUGUAACUCACACUGACUAGUUCCUGACUUACCAUGUAAUAUUGAUGAAAUAGGCAAAACUAAUUUAAGCAGAAAAAUGCUCCCCAGGAUAUAUAAGAGUUACAAAACCUCUCUCCAAGUAGACAGGAAGUAGUGGGCAAGCAUGUCAAUUUUAUGUGUCCAUAAUUUUAAGUAUCUUGCAGUGAAAUGUAACUGGUCCUUUACAGGCAAUCAACAAGACCAAAAUAUUAAAAAUUCUUAAAUAAGAUGAAGUCUGGAGACCUUGAGGUUCUAGUUAAGAGUACUCUAGUUCUUCACCAUACUAAUUCCUCUUCUACAGAAACAGAGACCACAGUGUAGAAAGCAAACCCACUGCCCAUCCUUACACAGCUCACACUAGUAGUAGUAGUAGUAGUAGUAGUGCAGUCCUAUCAAAGUUUGCAGUGAAGUGUGAAUUUUUAGUUACUUUGAAUUGCAUUUCCUCUGGGAUACAAAUAUAGCAUCUGAGUAAUCUAAACAAUAAUUUAAGAAUUUGGCUGCUAGUGCUAGCUUCUACUGCUUGUGUUUAAAAACAAGAAAACAUCUUGUAGCAUAAAAGAAGGAUCUAGUUAAAUGCUGUUAUUUUUUUUCUAUCUAAUGUUCACUUAAAAUGUGCUUAUAAUUAUGUUGAAGGGAAGAAAGCCAAGUAGAAUUACUAAGUUAAAUAUCUGAGGUGGAGAAAAACUUCCGUGCCCUCUAGGGGUCCUUAGAGAUACGAAAGACACAAGAGAGUGCAUGCAAAUUACGAAUAUUUCAAACACAGCCACUUUUGAUUAUAAAUAUAAAUCUAGGUUCUCUCACCCUUAUUUUCACUUUGCUUUUUUGUUCCCAGAGACAGAACACGUGCUCCCCGUUCUCGGCUCCUUCUUGCCAACCACUCUGAGGAGCCAGUCCAAAGCCCCAAUUACCCCUCCUGACAGCAGGGCCAGGAGGGGCAAACCUCUACCUGCUCUUCAGCUGUUCCACUUCAAAGGUACGCUGAUGCCGUGGGUCUGCCUUCAUCAGCAGUUAAAAUUAUGUGUAACGCUAUUGUGGCCAUGAAGGUACAGGAACCCAUCCCCCCGUGAUCCUCACGUUCAGGAGAAGGAGGGUGGAGCAAAUAGCUGGAGAGUUUGUAGAACUCCGACGCAGGAUUCACCAGCACCCACAAGGCAGAGCUCACAAAGCAGCACCCAGACUUAAAAGCAUUGCUCUCUGCCACAGGCACCAAUGAAUUAACAGGAAUCUGCAAGUAAUCCCCUGUAUUACACACUGAUAAACAUGUCACUUGUGACUGUAUCAGCGGAGACAUUAAAAACAAAACAAAAAAAGAUGACUUUGAGGCUGACUUUCAUCAUUCCACCAGACCUUUACAUCUCUUUGUCUCCACCUUAAAAAUCAAGCUAAGCAGUCGUUCUGACAAUUUAUGCAAUUAGCAGUUUUAGAUAAAUAAUACUUUUUAGAGCGAAAGGAAGGAAUUCUGUGGUAACAAAGCAGGAAAUUUUGACAGCUCAUUGUGUUCCCAAAUGAAACGGGCAGGGUGAAGGGAAAUGGUCAGGGUACAGAUUCUCCUUGACUGCUUUGGGCUGAAGAUGCAGGGCUGGAACAUCUGCAGCUGCAAACACCAGGGCCUGCACCCUCACUGGUGCCAAGCUGCCACGAGAGCUUCCAGCAGGGAGACCUCCCAGGGGCUGCUGUGCUCUUGAAUUUUACUUUGUCGUUGUUAAAACAAACAAGAACACAAGCCAAAUAAACCAAAGCAACCCGUUUAAGGAGCCAGUGCUGUGACUGACACGCAUGGCAGAUCACAGGGACAAGAAAAUCAUCUACAGGGCAAGAACCACUGCACUACUAUAGCAUCAAGGGCACUUCAAGAUGGUUCAGAAGGGUUAAGAAAAAAAUGAGGCAGCUCUUAACUGCCUUUCACAUCUGGAGGAAAGAGCCAUCUGCACCGAGGAAAACAACUUCUCCAAGACUUGCCUGAAACAGCGUGCGAUUCAAUUUCACCGAGCAAGCACAACAAAUUAGGAAAGAAAACAGGCCCAUAGCUGUGACAAAACAACAGAGCAGCUUCAUCCAGCAGAAGUCAGGACCAACCACCAAAUUAUUGAUUCUAUUUAGUACACAGCUCCAUGUGGUAAAUCUGGAAUACCACAGCAAAUUCACAAGAGGUUACAAGUAUUUAUUGCAGUCAAGCUUUCUUACAAUCUUCAUUCCAGUAUUGCUUAAGUUGACUGUUCAGAGUACAUACUGCAGUGGCUGACAACUUUCCAUGGAAAACCAAGUGGAGUAGUAAGGCCUCCUGUGGAUUCCAUGGAGCCCAUGGCCCCUCCACUAUUUCAGUUAUGAAAAGGCUUGGGAUUUCUGACCUGAGGAAGAGGGCUUGAUGAUGUUUUAAGCAUCAAUCUGGUUCUAGUGAAAAGGUUUCUAAAAGAGAGAAGCAUUGCUCUGUAAAAGUAGCAAACUCAAAUGAAAAGCUAUGUUAAAAGUGAGCACCAGAAUUACUGGAAUUAUAUUUUUAUUUGAAGACAUCAAUACUUGUUCAUGGUGAUUCAGGCUGGUUUGGAUUAUUUUCAUUCUGUUGUAUUAGUGCUAUAAGUGUUACUGUAAAUUCUUUUUUGUCGAAGGCAUUUCAUAAAGAUUUCUCACGUGCAUCAGAUCUUCUGAACAAAGCCAUUUCCUCUGAACAGACACAAAGAGACUGAUUUAAGGGUUACAGACUCAGGAUGACUCCCCUUUGCAGAAGGAGAAACUGCAGCAGCCACCUCACUUCAUUCAUUUGUAAGCACUGAAUUUUUAAACAUGUAAACAUUCCAAAAUGUAAGUUUUUCCGUGCUGUAUGCUGGAUGAUUCUACUAUUUCUGGUAGUAGUCCUAAUGAGCUCAUAAGUAUAGAUUUCAUCCAAUGUAUUCUGUAGUUUUGUUUCAAAAUGCUCUGCAAAGGAAAGUAAUUGAUGGUACUCCCUUUUUACAAAAAGAGCAUAAAAUGAUGAUGUAGAAACUGUAGUUCAGUUUUGUAUAUGUGUUUUACACAGAAAAUGACUUAAUUUCCCUUGCAGUGGUCCUACCCUGUGCAUGAAUUAUUUUUAUUUAUUUAUUACCAGUCAAUUACUUGACAUUCAGCUAUUAAAAAUUCCUUUUCCAGCUGCAGAUGAGACAUUUCACACGUGUUCUGUUUUCUUAGUGCUCUGAAGUCCAUGGUUGUUCUUAUGUUUAACAAGAACUACUGAGACUGUUUUACUGUAUCUGCCAGCACUAAUUUCUGCCCUCCUUUACUGAUCAAAAUCCAUACCACAGCUGUAUCUUAACCUACCAUAAAGUACCAUCACCACUCCCUAUCACUAAAUCCCUAUCACUCCCAGUUAGUAAAAUGCAUGAAAGAGAAGCUGACAGUCUGUUCAUAAAGCCCUUCUCAAUGCUGGAAUUCUCCUGGUAUGUCUUACCUGGAUAGAGAGGAAGACCCAAGGAUCCACAGGCAUACCUUUAACAGCCGUCCAUUCUGACAAAUGAACAAGUUAAAUGAGUAUUUUACAGCCACUCCAGAAAUCCUCUCUUUAACCAUAUCAUAUAACACCAGUGACUGGUGAAAAGACUGAACUGAUGAAUCUUGAGACAUAGCUCUUAAAACUUGCAGACUUUGGAAAGAGUCCUUGCAGACAAGUGAAAACCAAAAGGAUGCAAAAACUGCCAUCGAGAACCAGAAAACAGCAGUCAUCAGCAACUGAGAUAUUGAAGCAGCACCCACAUUUCCCCCUUCAUAGACCUGCCUGCUCUUGCAUGAGCACAUGUAGAGCAACACUUACAUCUGACUGUAAAAGUGGCCAGAGUCGACUGACAGACAUCAGCCCUCCAUUUCAUGAGCAAACAAAGGUAGGUUUCCAAAACAUCAAUGUGUUAUAUUGCACUGGCAAUUCUUUCACUUGUUUUUGAGUUUGAUAAUGGGCUACGAAUUAUUGCCUCAAGGUCAAACGUACUUCACACCCUCGUAGGUCUAAAUGAGUGAAGUAGGUGCCUCCACCCAGUGACUAAUGCUUCAAGAGAUUUUCAAAGACCCAAGAUGUUUCUGACUGAUGCAGAUGGAGUCUAAGACCCUUUUCCUGAAUUAGGUGCCACGAUUAUAAGCAGAGCAUGAGGAGGGAAGAAUCCAAGACCUCACCCUUGAGGACUGCAUUCAGAAAAGUGAAACCACACCAAACCCCUUAGCUAUGGGUAUGCCUUUCACUGUGAUUAUCCCUGGGACUAUUUGGUAAGAAACAGAACAGAUACAUGCACCUUUGGUUCACACCAAUGUAGGCACACCCUCAAAACACGUAUGUACUGUGUACACUCAUACAGUGUAGUAUUAUCCCACAGCUCAGUUAAACAAAAAACAGCACUUGUUACGCAACAGCCAUCGGAGUGCUGUUCUGGAUAAAACACAAUAACUUAUCUCUUUGAUUCUACUGCAUGAUGUCUCCUUAACUUUCAGUAUUUUCUAGAUAUUUUCUAGUAUUUCUAGAUAAAAUACAAAAGUUUAUAUAAAAGUUUACAUUAAAUGCUAAACCACUGGACACGAAUACAGCGAGGAGCAUAAGAAUGGGCAAUUUGCACAGCCUGCUUAAUUAGGAACAUUUCCUUUUGAAGACAUGAGAGAUUCAGAUAUAGGAAGGUACCUGCCAGUACAAAUUUUGUAAAAUUCAGCCAAUGGCUUUCACAUGCACAUAAAAAGAUAGACAAGUGUUGCUAUCUAGCAGGAAAGGAUAGGGAGUUAUAGAAAUAAGGUCAGGAGACAGGUCUUGAAAAUAAGAAUCCAACAAGAGAGAAUGCUGUAUAAAUACAGCAUUUCAAGUGCAGAAGUCAUCUAUCACCACCUCCAUACUUGAAAGGCAUGGUUUGGACAACCACCUUGACUUUGGUAAAUAUUUUCCUUGCACUGUAUUUUAAAGACCAAGCCAUCUACUAUUUAGAGGGGCUGAUGGUAUCUUGAGAGUCUCACAGCUGGGAUCCCAAAUGGAAGCACUCUGGCUGACUUCAGGCUUACCAUACUGCUGCUGCUCAGCAGGGCCGGCCCAGUAACAGAGGUCCUGGGAUAUUCUGAAGCAGACAGGAUCCUCCAAGGAUCCUAGGAACCACCUGUCUGUAUGUUUUGUAUGGUGUUAUUGGUCGGGCAUUUCUGUCUCCAUAUUGAUCACUGACUUUACAGGGAAAAGUGGAUGUUAAUAUAGAUAUGGCACUGAACUGUCUUGAUAAUCUUUUCUUCCUAUAUAGUUUGAUGGUUUGUAAAUGUCUCUGCAUUAGAGGACAGGAGCCAUGUCAGCAGAAUCAGGUUCUUGCAUUGCUAUCACUCCUUUUACUAUAGAGCCCUCCUGCCAAAUGGCAAAGCUUACUGGUUUUCCUAAAAAUGAAAUUGAAUUGUAACAAACACCUUAAAAACUAGACGAUAAAAAGCUGUAAUAAAAGUGAUAACAGCUACCGCAUAGUCUCAGCAACAGGUAGUAGGUUGCAUUACCAUGGCAACUUUGAACAUAAAAUCCUACUGUCAUGCUACUCCCAUCCCUCUCCCAAGUAAACUGCAGCAUAAAUAAAAGAACAUUAUUACUUAUUCAAUUUGAAAUUUUGUGAUUCUAGUCUUCAGCCAGUAUCUCAACUACUGAAAUAAACAUUUAUUUAAUAACAAACUUCUAAGACAUCUGCACUCCCAAUUCCAAGUCAUUAGGCUUUCAUUUUGUGUAAAAGAAAAAGAUCUGUUUUUUCUAAGACCAAUGCCAAAAAGAGGUAUAGAAUUCAAAUCUCUAUGCAGAGUGCAAUAGGUGAAGCCAUUUCUGUUGCCAUUCCCCAAAGAUAAAGAUUUUCUUCUCUCAUGAAUACAUCAAAACCCUAAGUUAUCCUGAAUAUAAAUUACAUUUUCUUAACUCUAAUAGCAUUCUAGAUACAGACACUUUUUCAGAGACCCUUUUGUAUUUGCCUAUGUAUUGUAACUUCAGACUGAAUUCUUUCAAACAUCUACAUCUUAUUUUAUUAUAUGGAUUUCUGACUUGAACAUUGUUAAUGCUUUAAAUGCUUCUAGUGUGAGAACACAAUUGGACUCAUUGAAUCCACCAGCGAGAGUUUCGCAGUUGAAAAACAGAUUCUUUUUCUGCAGAAAGCUGAGCUAAUUGUCCAGCAUUUAUUCAACCAAAUCUGCUUUACAUUUCUGCAUUCUCAUUUCUCACCCACCAAUAAUAUUUGUUAAGGGAUCUCUUAAAAUAACUUUUCAUUUUUGUUCUGCAAGUUCUUCAAGAACUUAUAUGUAAGUAUACACACAUAAUGGGUUGCACUGACUGAGCCACAAGAUAUGAUUCUCAUUUUCUGCUAAGGCACUAUUAUGUUGGCAAGCAGGAAACAUUUGCUAUUACAAUCCAUGUAAAUCUAGCAAAGCCAUUGCUUAAAAUUUUAUACAUUAUAUAUAACUAAUUUAUGUAAAAUAGCAGUCGAUAUAAUGACAUAAAUAUUAAUGAAAAAAUGCUGUUCAUUCUAAAGUGGAAUAGAACAUUUUUUUCAAAUGUUCAGAAAUUUGGUAUUAGUAUUUUUUGUUUCUGAGAAAGAUAAGGCAUGCUUGGAAAUAAUACACAGGAUGACAAUCAUAAGCCCUGAGCUCAUUUCCUGGUUUCUUAUGGAACAAACUUUUCUUUCCAUGCCUCAGUUUUCCACUGCUGUGUUUUGUUUGUUCUGAGUAGACAGCGAGUUCUCUAAUGCAGGGCCUCGGCGCUUCCACAGCAUUUUCUACCUGCAGUUCUGGUCCUGGUUUCUACAUUACCACAGUUCAAACACUAAUUAUCUCUGCUUUUUUUACAACCAACAGCUAAGUUAGACAACACAAUAGAAAAUGAAUGCACAGGGGUUUACUGGUGCCAUUAAAUCAAAAUAUGCUUUCAACUCUUUAACGUGACACUUAAGAAAAUUUCCCUCUAUUUCCACAGCUUUGCCCACAAGAUUUCUCCACCCUCUCUUUCCCAUUAAACUACAAAAGACACAUGUUUAAAACCAUAAGUAGUAAUACAGCAAUUGCCAUUGACUACUUUUGAAACACCUAACAUUAGCCAAAACCUCAAGUCUAUCAACACUUUUCACAGAACAGAAGCCUGUGGAGCCAAGCAGGAAAAGCACAAGCCCCUCUGAAUUUGCUCCCCUCUGAUUUUUGUGCUGAAAUUGCACGGCUGCCAUUUCCCUCACACAAGGAGACUGAGUCUCUGCUGAUUCAGUCUGUCUCACCAUAUCUAACCUGUGGUGCCUGCUCAACCCUUUAAGGUGCAGCAGUACAACGCUGGAGAGGAGCGAGGCACAAUAAACUUAAGUUGUCUCAAUCUUCUGCAUUGACCACAGGAUGAUCCUUCUUUGUCAGUCUCUGCAUGUUCUUCAUCUCCUCUUUUCCAGCUCUGCUCUGCAUCACACACACACACACAAAUAUAUGUAUAUAAAUAUAAAUAUAUCCCUAAGUCUAAAGUGACCCUUCUUCCCUGCCUCUGACCAGCAGUAAUUCGGCCUCCCCUUUGCUCCCUGCCCUUUCCUGAGGCUGGAGUGCUGUGCAGUGCUCCAGUAAAAUCCAGCCCAGCAGCUCUGGCCACUUUUUCUUCACCACGGGGAUACCCCAAGGGUCUUCCAGGCUGGAGAGAGCAAUGUCAGGGAGAAGGAGGAAAAGGAACUGAGCACUGGCUUGGCAGCACAUGGAGGUGCCUGUUACAUCUUGCAGGAGAAAACUUCACUCACGACCUGAAGCUCUGCUCUGAUUAAAAGCUUUAUCUAUAGGAGAGAGUGCAGGAACAGAUGUCUUGAGGUUAAUAAUUUGAAUUCUUUUUGUACAUUAUAUACUAC
Zonotrichia albicollis (white-throated sparrow) is the source of this 8504-nucleotide non-coding RNA. Lineage: Eukaryota; Metazoa; Chordata; Aves; Passeriformes; Passerellidae. The record is from RefSeq and is a predicted model, not a curated record.